CGUUGGCCGCGUGCAUUAGGCAUGCAAGUCUAACGGAUCCGGCCUUCGGGCCGGGUCAGUGGCGCAAGGGUGAGUAAGGCGACGGUAACCAACCCCAGAAUUGGGUAUAGCCGCGGGAAACUGCGGGUAAUCCCCAGCGACGCAUCGGGCCGGCAUCGGCCUGAUGUCAAAGUUACGGCGUUCUGGGACGGGCUGUCGUGGUAUUAGGUAGUUGGCGGGGUAAUGGCCCACCAAGCCUUCGAUGCCUACCGGGCGUGCGAGCGUGGCCCGGCACACUGGGACUGAGACACUGCCCAGACACCUACGGGUGGCUGCAGUCGAGAAUCUUCGGCAAUGGGCGCAAGCCUGACCGAGCGACGCCGCGUGGAGGAUGAAGGCCUUCGGGUUGUAAACUCCUGUCGAGGGGGAGGAAGGGGCAACCUUGACCUAUCCCUGGAGGAAGCACGGGCUAAGUUCGUGCCAGCAGCCGCGGUAAGACGAACCGUGCGAACGUUAUUCGGAAUCAUUGGGCUUAAAGCGCGUGUAGGCGGAUGGGAACGUCGGCUUUGAAAGCCCCCGGCUCAACCGGGGAAUUGGCGCCGAAACGACCCGUCUCGAGGGGCAUAGGGGGAGCUGGAACUUCCGGUGGAGCGGUGAAAUGCGUUGAGAUCGGAAGGAACGCCCGUGGCGAAAGCGAGCUCCUGACUGUCUUCUGACGCUGAGACGCGAAAGCUAGGGUAGCGAACGGGAUUAGAUACCCCGGUAGUCCUAGCCGUAAACGAUGGGCACUGGGUAGGGGGCUCGCCGAUGGGCUCCCUGCCGUAGGGAAACCGUGAAGUGCCCCGCCUGGGGAGUAUGGUC
Molecule: ribosomal RNA, 840 nt
Filed under: uncultured bacterium
Lineage: Bacteria
Description: bacterial SSU rRNA
Rfam family: Bacterial small subunit ribosomal RNA
Source: RNAcentral